This 574-nucleotide ribosomal RNA is filed under the name Curvularia lunata. Its description in RNAcentral is "eukaryotic LSU rRNA". The stretch from base 207 to 360 matches the Rfam family "5.8S ribosomal RNA". Lineage: Eukaryota; Fungi; Ascomycota; Dothideomycetes; Pleosporales; Pleosporaceae. The record is from RNAcentral.
UGCGGAGGGAUCAUUACACAAUAAAAUAUGAAGGCUGUACGCGGCUGUGCUCUCGGGCCAGUUUUGCGGAGGCUGAAUUAUUUAUUACCCUUGUCUUUUGCGCACUUGUUGUUUCCUGGGCGGGUUCGCCCGCCACCAGGACCACAUCAUAAACCUUUUUUAUGCAGUUGCAAUCAGCGUCAGUAUAACAAAUGUAAAUCAUUUACAACUUUCAACAACGGAUCUCUUGGUUCUGGCAUCGAUGAAGAACGCAGCGAAAUGCGAUACGUAGUGUGAAUUGCAGAAUUCAGUGAAUCAUCGAAUCUUUGAACGCACAUUGCGCCCUUUGGUAUUCCAAAGGGCAUGCCUGUUCGAGCGUCAUUUGUACCCUCAAGCUUUGCUUGGUGUUGGGCGUUUUUUGUCUUUGGUUGCCAAAGACUCGCCUUAAAAGGAUUGGCAGCCGGCCUACUGGUUUCGCAGCGCAGCACAUUUUUGCGCUUGCAAUCAGCAAAAGAGGACGGCAAUCCAUCAAGACUCCUUCUCACGUUUGACCUCGGAUCAGGUAGGGAUACCCGCUGAACUUAAGCAUAUCAAA